AGAUCACCUGUGCCCUUUGGUCAUAUGAUGCAGGAGCAUUUUAGAGGCAUCUAUUUCUCCAUUUUUGUUUUGUUUUUCAGAAUCUUACGCCGUUCAUUCUGACCUCAAAUCACUAUUUAUCCAAGGACAACUUGAACUUCUGAUCUUCCCCUACCUCCCAAGAGAACUCCAGUUUGGUUCCUGGAACCCACAUCAGGAAGCUCACAGCCACCUGUGAGUCCAGCUCCAGGGGAUCCAGCAGCCUCUUCUGGACUCUGCCAGUACCCUACACAUGUGGCAUACACACAGCCUGAGUGCAAACUGAGGAGAAGUGGGAGUGAAUUCUCUAUGGGGACGCUACCAGCGUGUGGAAGAGAAGUCAGACAUGAUCACAAAAUUCAACCUCUAAAAUUUUGUGCUUCAUCUGUAAAAUGAGAAUAAUGCCAUGUGCCCUCGAGAAGCCUGGCUUUCUACAUCUGAGCUCAGGCUCCUCCCCUUGAACAUCUCUGAAACCUGUUCUCCCUGAACUGAGAUCAUAGCUCCCCUGCAGUGCUCAGAGUGGGGGUGGGGAGGAAAAAUGUUAUCCACUCAACAUCCAAAGUUACCUUCUCCCAAAUUUCAAAGGAAGAGCUAUGCUCCAGGUGCAUGAUGGUCAGUGGAACCGUAGGGGUAUGGCUUGUCUUUCCAUGGAACGAGGGCGCUGUCUGAUGAUAUUUUUGUUGUAUCAUGAGUUGGAGCAAGGGAAGUUAUUGGCCCUUGGCAAGUAGCGAUCAGGAGCACCCCAGAGUACCCCAGUCAGCCCUCACUGCAAAUAUCCCGUCCAUCCGUUGCAAGGUGGAAACGCUCACGGUAUAGAACAGCUUCAUCCUUGAUCCCUCUCUGCCUCUACCUUUUGUGUGAUGCUGGAUAGGGUACCUCAUGACUCUAGACCACAUUCAGUGUCCUGAGUUGUAGGAUAAGAUGGUUUGACUUGAUGAUGUACAUGGCCUGUCAUUCUCGAAGUCUCCCAAGUCAAAACAAGCAUCCCCACCUCCGCUCCCUCAACUGUAAAAUUGUACUGAACAUCCUUACUUCAUUGUUCCCACUAUGGGAUGAGAGGGAAAGUUAAGUAACAAUUAUAAAAUUGUCUUAC
RNAcentral lists this long non-coding RNA (1111 nucleotides) under Mus pahari (shrew mouse). Its description in RNAcentral is "RIKEN cDNA 4930507D10 gene (MGP_PahariEiJ_G0002580.1)". The record is from RNAcentral. Lineage: Eukaryota; Metazoa; Chordata; Mammalia; Rodentia; Muridae.